RNAcentral lists this ribosomal RNA (429 nucleotides) under Chloroflexota bacterium. RNAcentral's name for it is "Chloroflexi bacterium partial 16S ribosomal RNA". It matches the Rfam family "Bacterial small subunit ribosomal RNA", at positions 355 to 776 of the family's 1533-position model. The record is from RNAcentral. Lineage: Bacteria; Bacillati; Chloroflexota.
UGGGGAAUAUUGCACAAUGGGCGCAAGCCUGAUGCAGCCAUGCCGCGUGUGUGAAGAAGGCCUUCGGGUUGUAAAGCACUUUCAGCGGGGAGGAAGGCGGUGAGGUUAAUAACCUCAUCGAUUGACGUUACCCGCAGAAGAAGCACCGGCUAACUCCGUGCCAGCAGCCGCGGUAAUACGGAGGGUGCAAGCGUUAAUCGGAAUUACUGGGCGUAAAGCGCACGCAGGCGGUUGGUUGAGUCAGAUGUGAAAUCCCCGGGCUUAAACCGGGAAGUGGAUCUGAUACUGGUCAGCUAGGGUCUUGUAGAGGGGGGUAGGAGUCCCUGUGUAGGGGUGAAAUGCGUAGAGAUGGGGGGGAAUACCGGUGGCGAAGGCGGCCCCCUGGACAAAGACUGACGCUCAGGUGCGAAAGCGUGGGGAGCAAACAGG